This 1109-nucleotide ribosomal RNA is filed under the name uncultured Rosellinia. Its description in RNAcentral is "eukaryotic LSU rRNA". The stretch from base 486 to 1109 matches the Rfam family "Eukaryotic large subunit ribosomal RNA", at positions 1 to 649 of the family's 3401-position model. Lineage: Eukaryota; Fungi; Ascomycota; Sordariomycetes; Xylariales; Xylariaceae. The record is from RNAcentral.
AGGGAUCAUUAGAGAGUGCCCUACUCCCAAAACCCAUGUGAACUUACCUGUACGUUGCCUCGGCGGGGGAGGGGCUGGCCACCCCCCCUCCGCCAGGCGGCCCACCAAACCCUGUUUAGCCCUGAAUCUCUGAGACGAUAAAACAAUGAGUUAAAACUUUCAACAACGGAUCUCUUGGCUCUGGCAUCGAUGAAGAACGCAGCGAAAUGCGAUACGUAGUGUGAAUUGCAGAAUUUAGUGAAUCAUCGAAUCUUUGAACGCACAUUGCGCCCGCCAGUAUUCUGGCGGGCAUGCCUGUUCGAGCGUCAUUUCAACCCCUUAAGCCCUUGUCGCUUAGUGUUGGGAGCCGACGGCGUCCUGCCGUCGCUCCUCAAAUCCAGUGGCGGAGCCGGUUUCGCGCUCUGGGCGUAGUAGAUUUUCUCCAUCUCGCCUGCAGCCGGGGCCGGCCUCCCUGCCGUAAAACCACCACCAAUGUACCCAAAGGUUGACCUCGAAUCAGGUAGGAAUACCCGCUGAACUUAAGCAUAUCAAUAAGCGGAGGAAAUGAAACCAACAGGGGUUGCCCCAGUAACGGCGAGUGAAGCGGCAACAGCUCAAAUUUGAAAUCUGGCCCUCGGGUCCGAGUUGUAAUUUGUAGAGGAUGCUUUUGGCGCGGUGCCUUCCGAGUUCCCUGGAACGGGACGCCUUAGAGGGUGAGAGCCCCGUACGGUUGGACACCAAGCCUCUGUAAAGCGCCUUCGACGAGUCGAGUAGUUUGGGAAUGCUGCUCUAAAUGGGAGGUAAAUUUCUUCUAAAGCUAAAUAUUGGCCAGAGACCGAUAGCGCACAAGUAGAGUGAUCGAAAGAUGAAAAGCACUUUGAAAAGAGGGUUAAACAGCACGUGAAAUUGUUGAAAGGGAAGCGUUUGCGACCAGACCUCUCCCCGGCGGAUCAUCCGGCGUUCUCGCCGGUGCACUUCGCCGGGCUGAGGCUAGCAUCGGUUUCCGCGGGGGGACAAAAGCGGGGGGAACGUAGCUCCCUCGGGAGUGUUAUAGCCCCCCGCAUAAUACCCUCGCGGGGACCGAGGACCGCGCUUCGGCAAGGAUGCUGGCGUAAUGGUCGUCAACGACC